This 468-nucleotide ribosomal RNA is filed under the name uncultured bacterium. RNAcentral describes it as "bacterial SSU rRNA". It matches the Rfam family "Bacterial small subunit ribosomal RNA", at positions 328 to 794 of the family's 1533-position model. The record is from RNAcentral.
UUACCAGACUCCUACGGGAGGCAGCAGUGAGGAAUAUUGGUCAAUGGCCGGAAGGCUGAACCAGCCAUGCCGCGUGAAGGUCAGUGCCCUAUGGGCGUUAAACUUCUUUUGUGCGGGAGCAAUAAUGGUCACGUGUGGCCAGACGAGAGUACCGUACGAAUAAGCAUCGGCUAACUCCGUGCCAGCAGCCGCGGUAAUACGGAGGAUGCGAGCGUUAUCCGGAUUUAUUGGGUUUAAAGGGUGCGUAGGUGGUUAAUUAAGUCAGCGGUGAAAGUUUGUGGCUCAACCAUAAAAUUGCCGUUGAAACUGGUUGACUUGAGUAUAUUUGAGGUAGGCGGAAUGCGUGGUGUAGCGGUGAAAUGCAUAGAUAUCACGCAGAACUCCGAUUGCGAAGGCAGCAUACCGGCGCGCAACUGACGCUCAUGCACGAAAGCGUGGGUAUCGAACAGGAUUAGAUACCCGUGUAGG